RNAcentral lists this ribosomal RNA (294 nucleotides) under uncultured bacterium. RNAcentral's name for it is "partial 16S ribosomal RNA". It matches the Rfam family "Bacterial small subunit ribosomal RNA", at positions 775 to 1069 of the family's 1533-position model. The record is from RNAcentral.
GGAUUAGAUACCCGGGUAGUCCACGCCGUAAACGGUGGGCGCUAGGUGUGGGGACCAUUCCACGGUCUCUGUGCCGCAGCUAACGCAUUAAGCGCCCCGCCUGGGGAGUACGGCCGCAAGGCUAAAACUCAAAGGAAUUGACGGGGGCCCGCACAAGCGGCGGAGCAUGUGUCUUAAUUCGAUGCAACGCGAAGAACCUUACCUGGGCUUGACAUGUUCGGAAAACUCAUAGAGAUAUGGGGUCCGCAAGGGCCGAUCACAGGUGGUGCAUGGUUGUCGUCAGCUCGUGUCGUG